This is a long non-coding RNA of Dermacentor andersoni, 1466 nucleotides long. RefSeq lists it as uncharacterized. The record is from RefSeq and is a predicted model, not a curated record. Lineage: Eukaryota; Metazoa; Arthropoda; Arachnida; Ixodida; Ixodidae.
CGGCAAGUUGUAAAUUUUUCAUCCAUUUUCAUUUCCAAUAACUUAUCGUUUCUUUAUGUCAUUUAUUAAGCACAAGUAAUUUCCCCUAUGUUCUUGGUGUCAGUGUUUGUUGGCUUCUUAUGAUAUACAAAAAUAGGCUACUCUAAAUAUAAAUAGGAGUAAAAAAGGUUAGUAGUCAGGUUAAUGGGGCCUAGUGUUCGCGUGCUAUGCUGCUUUGUCUUAAUGCGCUAUUGUUAAGAGCCCCCUACCGCAAGGUAUCCUACGCCAGCGUCAGACGUCACUUGGGGAAACGUCAUUCUGAACCGCAACCACGCAGGCCCUAAGCAUGGCGCGGAGGCGUUAAUGAACCAAUUCCCCAAAGUAAAAUGCGCAUAAAUAUCGGAAAGUUAGGACCUGAACACAACGUACAGAUAUGACAGAAAACAUUUCUGUUACGUCGAAACAGAAGCAGAAACCGCUUUUUAGAGUGGCGCGGCCAGCUCGGUACUUUACAACAAGACCAUCGCUAUCACCUGCGUCUGCACAAAAAGCUGCGGUUGCCGGGAAUCCUGACAAGUCCGGGAUCGUUGAAAUCUAUCGCGUUUCACUCUUAAAGGCAAAGCUUAAGCGUCAGCCAAGUUUUGCAAGCGAAACUUGCAUUCGGUGGCGGUCUGCUCACGCAAAAACCCGGGUGCUCCCAGAGCAGAGCAGUUUUCACGAGUCGACAGCUGCUCCAGCGCCGAAGCGUGAGCAAGCAUUCCAGUUGCACAGGCACGCUCUCACCCCACGCGCGCAGCCAAUCAGAACCGUUUCGCUUCCGCCGAGAAGGGAAAGGGCAUGAAAGGGUUUCGCGCGGCUUCGUCUGCGUUCAGUUCAAUCUCGGAAAACGCGAUGGGACGGCCACGCGUUGUGCGUUCCUCAACGAAACAGGCAGCGUUCGACGUGCGACCAUAGAGUAAGGGAUUGAGCAAGAGCGGACACUCGGCGAAAAUCGGAAACAGGAAACACGUCACGCUAUAGUAUUAACAUCGACGAAUUGGGGCCGCGAGCAUCGAAAAAGAGAUGAAUGUGAAAUGAGAUUAACAGAAAUUUUUUUAUUCUUUCCCGGAAAAAUAAAAAUAUCUGCGUAUAAAUUAAAUUAAACUUUGCGGCUUACUUCCGUUGCCUAGCGACAGGCGAACCGGCGAAUGACGAGCCAGAUGUUUGCGUCAUUCGUCAGACACACCGCCGAAGCGAGAGAGACCGGUCGCGCAUCUGAGCGUUGGACUGUUCGGGCACCCGUCUGCCUGUUUUUCUAUUUUGGGAUUUAGCUUGGUUUGGAGGCCUCGCGGCAAAUUAUUGCGUUCAUUCGGAACUUCAAGCUCACGUCUUCUCGUGGAGCUUCCUGCGGAAACUACUGCUUACCUGGUGCCACAACGCUGGAUGAAUGCACAAAAAGCCUGCGACGAUCAUUUACAAAGAACAAAAUAAACGUUCAUUUCACAAGG